RNAcentral lists this ribosomal RNA (1379 nucleotides) under metagenome. RNAcentral's name for it is "bacterial LSU rRNA". It matches the Rfam family "Bacterial large subunit ribosomal RNA", at positions 1567 to 2925 of the family's 2925-position model. The record is from RNAcentral.
UGACGAGGUCCUCGGACCGAAGUAGUCGAUGCCCUGCUUCCAAGAAAAGCCCCUAAGCAUCAGGCUGUCGCCACCCGUACCCAAACCGACACAGGUGGGCGAGGAGAGUAUCCUCAGGCGCUGGAGAGAACUCGGGUGAAGGAACUCGGCAAACUAGCACCGUAACUUCGGGAGAAGGUGCACCCGCAGUAGGUGAACGCCCUCGCGGCGGAAGCCCAAGCGGGUCGCAGUGACCAGGUGGCUGCGACUGUUUACUAAAAACACAGCACUCUGCCAACACGAAAGUGGACGUAUAGGGUGUGACGCCUGCCCGGUGCCGGAAGGUUAAGUGAUGGGGUUAGCGCAAGCGAAGCUCUGGAUCGAAGCCCCGGUAAACGGCGGCCGUAACAAUAACGGUCCUAAGGUAGCGAAAUUCCUUGUCGGGUAAGUUCCGACCUGCACGAAUGGCGUAACGAUAGCCACACUGUCUCCACCCGGGGCUCCGUGAAAUUGAAUUCGCUGUGAAGAUGCAGCGUACCCGCGGCAAGACGGAAAGACCCCGUGAACCUUCACUAUAGCUUUGCACUGACUGUUGAGCCUUCUUGUGUAGGAUAGGUGGGAGGCCUUGAAGCCGGAACGCCAGUUCCGGUGGAGCCACCCUUGAAAUACCACCCUGGAAUGCUUGAGAGUCUAACCUCGAACCUGAAACGGGUUCAGGGACCGUGCAUGGUGGGUAGUUUGACUGGGGCGGUCUCCUCCCAAAGAGUAACGGAGGAGCGCGACGGUACCCUCAGCGCGGUCGGAAAUCGCGCAGUGCGUGCAAAGGCAUAAGGGUGCUUGACUGCGAGACGGACAGGUCGAGCAGGGGCGAAAGCCGGUCUUAGUGAUCCGGUGGUUCCGUAUGGAAGGGCCAUCGCUCAACGGGUAAAAGGUACUCCGGGGAUAACAGGCUGAUACCGCCCAAGAGUCCCUAUCGACGGCGGUGUUUGGCACCUCGAUGUCGGCUCAUCACAUCCUGGGGCUGUAGUCGGUCCCAAGGGUAUGGCUGUUCGCCAUUUAAAGUGGUACGCGAGCUGGGUUUAGAACGUCGUGAGACAGUUCGGUCCCUAUCUGCCGUGGGCGUUGGAGCGUUGCGGGGAGCUGUUCCUAGUACGAGAGGACAGGAAUGGACAGACCUCUGGUGUACCGGUUGUCACGCCAGUGGCAUCGCCGGGUAGCUACGUCCGGACGGGAUAACCGCUGAAAGCAUCUAAGCGGGAAGCCCCCCCCAAGAUUAGCGCUCCCGAGUCCUUUGCGACUCCUGAAGGUUCGUUGAAGACCACAACGUCGAUAGGCGUGGCGGUGGACGCGCAGUAAUGCGUGCAGCCGACCCGUACUAAUCAACCGUGCGGCUUGACCCG